RNAcentral lists this ribosomal RNA (255 nucleotides) under uncultured bacterium. RNAcentral's name for it is "partial 16S ribosomal RNA". It matches the Rfam family "Bacterial small subunit ribosomal RNA", at positions 521 to 776 of the family's 1533-position model. The record is from RNAcentral.
UAAUACGUAGGUGGCAAGCGUUGUCCGGAAUUACUGGGUGUAAAGGGAGCGUAGGCGGGGAUGCAAGUUGAAUGUGAAACUUAUCGGCUCAACCGGUAAUUGCGUUCAAAACUGCAUUUCUUGAGUGGAGUAGAGGCAGGCGGAAUUCCCAGUGUAGCGGUGAAAUGCGUAGAUAUUGGGAGGAACACCAGUGGCGAAGGCGGCCUGCUGGGCUCUAACUGACGCUGAGGUUCGAAAGUGUGGGUAGCAAACAGG